UUCAUCCCUGCGGAAGAGCCCGGACCUCAACUAUGGUUCGGCGCCGAAGGCGCAACCACCCCGGAAACGCUCAGGCACAAGGGACCGCGCGGGAUUU
Molecule: non-coding RNA, 97 nt
Filed under: Hyphomicrobiales bacterium
Lineage: Bacteria; Pseudomonadati; Pseudomonadota; Alphaproteobacteria; Hyphomicrobiales
Description: Glycine
Rfam family: Glycine riboswitch aptamer
About the family: This family represents the bacterial glycine riboswitch. Glycine riboswitches usually consist of two metabolite-binding aptamers domains with similar structures in tandem.
Source: RNAcentral